GAUGAACGCUAGCUACAGGCUUAACACAUGCAAGUCGAGGGGAAACGACAUCGAAAGCUUGCUUUUGAUGGGCGUCGACCGGCGCACGGGUGAGUAACGCGUAUCCAACCUGCCCAUCACUUGGGAAUAACCUUGCGAAAGUAAGACUAAUACCCAAUGAUAUCCCACGAAGGCAUCGGAAUGGGAUUAAAGAUUUAUCGGUGAUGGAUGGGGAUGCGUCUGAUUAGCUUGUUGGCGGGGUAACGGCCCACCAAGGCAACGAUCAGUAGGGGUUCUGAGAGGAAGGUCCCCCACAUUGGAACUGAGACACGGUCCAAACUCCUACGGGAGGCAGCAGUGAGGAAUAUUGGUCAAUGGGCGAGAGCCUGAACCAGCCAAGUAGCGUGCAGGAAGACGGACCUAUGGGUUGUAAACUGCUUUUAUAAGGGAAUAAAGUGGGUAACGUGUGACUUUUUGCAUGUACCUUAUGAAUAAGGACCGGCUAAUUCCGUG
Molecule: ribosomal RNA, 492 nt
Filed under: uncultured bacterium
Lineage: Bacteria
Description: partial 16S ribosomal RNA
Rfam family: Bacterial small subunit ribosomal RNA
Source: RNAcentral